GACGAACGCUGGCGGCGUGCUUAACACAUGCAAGUCGAACGGACCUGUUUUUGAAGCGCUUCGGCGUGGAGGGAGCGGGUUAGUGGCGCACGGGUGAGUAAUGCGCGAGGGACCCUGCCCGCGGGAGGGGGACAGCAGUUGGAAACGGCUGGUGAUACCCCGUAGGCCGGGAGGUGAAAGGGCGGAGACGCCCGCCUGCCGGAUGGACUCGCGGUCCUAUCAGCUAGUUGGUGAGGCAACGGCUCACCAAGGCGACGACGGGUAGCCGGCCUGAGAGGGUGUCCGGCCACACUGGAACUGAGACACGGUCCAGACUCCUACGGGAGGCAGCAGUGGGGAAUUUUGGGCAAUGGGGGAGACCCUGACCCAGCGACGCCGCGUGAGGGACGAAGGCCCUUGGGUCGUAAACCUCUUUUGCAGGGGAAGAAGAAGAUGACGGUACCUUGCGAACAAGUCCCGGCUAACUACGUGCCAGCAGCCGCGGUAAGCUGUAGUCGU
Molecule: ribosomal RNA, 498 nt
Filed under: uncultured bacterium
Lineage: Bacteria
Description: bacterial SSU rRNA
Rfam family: Bacterial small subunit ribosomal RNA
Source: RNAcentral